UAUCUCUGUAGAGUCUGCAUAUCAAUAAGCGGAGGAAAAGAAACUAACAAGGAUUCCCUUAGUAACGGCGAGUGAAGCGGGAAGAGCUCAAAUUUGAAAUCUUCAAGGUUUUACCUUGACGAAUUGUAGUUUAAAGAAGUGUUUUCUGUUGAAGUUUCGGUAAAAGUUCUUUGGAAUAGGACAUCAUGGAGGGUGAGAAUCCCGUAUUUGACCGUUAUUUUCAGCUGUGUGAUACACUUUCAAAGAGUCGGAUUGUUUGGGAAUGCAGUCCAAAAUGGGUGGUAAAUUUCAUCUAAAGCUAAAUAUUGGCGAGAGACCGAUAGCGAACAAGUACCGUGAGGGAAAGAUGAAAAGAACUUUGAAAAGAGAGUUAAACAGUACGUGAAGUUGUCAAAAGGGAAGCGUUUGACACCAGUGUUGUUUUCUCGAAAAUCAAUUAAAAAUGGCUUGAUUUUGUGUUGUAUUGACCUUUAAUCAGCUUUCUUCACUUUUUUCCUGUCUUUUUUAAUGCACUUUUCGUUUAACAAGUCAACAUCAGUUUCUUUUGUUGUAAAAGAGUCAUUGGAAGGUGGCUUUCUUUUCGGAGAAAGUGUUUAUAGCCUUUGACUUCUGCAGUCGGAGAGAUUGAGGUCUGCAGCGUAGAUCCUUCGGGGUUAGAUACAUUUGUGCUAAGUUAUAGCCUUUCAUAGACAACUUGUUGACUAUGAUCAGUCAUGUAGCUUACUCGCUUAUGUCAUUUUACCUACGCUUAGGAUGUUGAUCUCUCACAGUCGAGC
RNAcentral lists this ribosomal RNA (776 nucleotides) under uncultured Neocallimastigales. Its description in RNAcentral is "partial large subunit ribosomal RNA". It matches the Rfam family "Eukaryotic large subunit ribosomal RNA", at positions 24 to 645 of the family's 3401-position model. The record is from RNAcentral. Lineage: Eukaryota; Fungi; Neocallimastigomycota; Neocallimastigomycetes; Neocallimastigales.